This 776-nucleotide ribosomal RNA is filed under the name uncultured Neocallimastigales. RNAcentral's name for it is "partial large subunit ribosomal RNA". It matches the Rfam family "Eukaryotic large subunit ribosomal RNA", at positions 23 to 645 of the family's 3401-position model. The record is from RNAcentral. Lineage: Eukaryota; Fungi; Neocallimastigomycota; Neocallimastigomycetes; Neocallimastigales.
AUAGAGACUCAGAGCUGCAUAUCAAUAAGCGGAGGAAAAGAAACUAACUAGGAUUCCCUAGUAACGGCGAGUGAAGCGGGUAGAGCUCAAAUUUGAAAUCUUAAAGGUUUUCCCUUGACGAAUUGUAGUUUAAAGAAGUGUUUUCUGUUGGAGUUUCGGUAAAAGUUCUUUGGAAUAGGACAUCAUAGAGGGUGAGAAUCCCGUAUUUGACCGUUACUUUCCAGCUGUGUGAUACACUUUCAAAGAGUCGGAUUGUUUGGGAAUGCAGUCCAAAAUGGGUGGUAAAUUUCAUCUAAAGCUAAAUAUUGGCGAGAGACCGAUAGCGGAACAAGUACCGUGAGGGAAAGAUGAAAAGAACUUUGAAAAGAGAGUUAAACAGUACGUGAAAUUGUCAAAAGGGAAGCGUUUGACACCAGUGUUGUUUAGUUGAAAAUCAAUUCAAUAAUUUUUGAUUUUAAGUAGUAUUUGACUUCAUCAGCUUGCUGCUUUUUUCUCUGAAAUUAUUGAAUGCACUUUUCAGUUAACAAGUCAACAUCAGUUUCUUUUGUUGUAAAAAGGUGAGAGGAAGGUGGCUUGCGCUUCGGCUCAAGUGUUUAUAGCCUUUUACCCCUGCAAUCGAAGAGACUGAGGUCUGCAGCGUAGAUCCUUCGGGGUUAGAUACAUUUGUGCUAAGCUAUAGCCUUGUAUAGACAACUUGUUGACUAUGCUCAGUCAUGUAGCUUACUCGCUUAUGCUAUUUUACCUACGCUUAGGAUGUUGAAGUCAUCGUAUCGCGC